RNAcentral lists this ribosomal RNA (531 nucleotides) under uncultured bacterium. RNAcentral describes it as "bacterial SSU rRNA". It matches the Rfam family "Bacterial small subunit ribosomal RNA", at positions 979 to 1509 of the family's 1533-position model. The record is from RNAcentral.
CCUUGACAUACUAAGAACUUUCCAGAGAUGGAUUGGUGCCUUCGGGAACUUAGAUACAGGUGCUGCAUGGCUGUCGUCAGCUCGUGUCGUGAGAUGUUGGGUUAAGUCCCGNAACGAGCGCAACCUUUUCCUUAUUUGCCAGCGGGUCAUGCCGGGAACUUUAAGGAUACUGCCAGUGACAAACUGGAGGAAGGCGGGGACGACGUCAAGUCAUCAUGGCCCUUACGGCCAGGGCUACACACGUGCUACAAUGGUCGGUACAAAGGGUUGCUACCUCGCGAGAGGAUGCUAAUCUCAAAAAGCCGAUCGUAGUCCGGAUCGCAGUCUGCAACUCGACUGCGUGAAGUCGGAAUCGCUAGUAAUCGCGGAUCAGAAUGCCGCGGUGAAUACGUUCCCGGGCCUUGUACACACCGCCCGUCACACCAUGGGAGUUUGUUGCACCAGAAGUAGGUAGUCUAACCGCAAGGAGGACGCUUACCACGGUGUGGCCGAUGACUGGGGGUGAAGUCGUAACAAGGUAAGCGUAGAUGA